CAACAGCGGUCAUUACAUAAUGUCCACUGUAGUGUAAACUCACGUAUACAUAUCUGAAGCUGCCGGUCAAAAAGUAGAGAGAAGUAAUUUCCGCCUGCUGUUGAACAGGGCAGUUAGUUUAAGUUCGUGAGUUUAGCUUGCUGUGUGUAGCCUGUGAAUAAAUAACAUCGUUUAUUUACUGUUAAACGUCAUUUUGCAUGGCAAAGCACUGUUCAGAUAGCGUAGGGGAAAAUAUACAUCGCUGGCCAUGUAUAUGGGGUAAUAUAUCUUCUGUUGAUAUCUAAGAAUAGUAUGUUUGACUAAGUUAAUUCCGGUGUAGUUAGCCUGCUAGCUUAGCUAAGUUUUGAGUAACUUUAUUUCAGGCUACUUUAAGGGACCAUCGUCAAAGUUGUAGGCGUCAGCAGAGGGAGUGUAGCACACGGCCAUUCCCUUACUGCGCCACUUUAAGUGAAAUGGGAAGCCUUGAAACCUCCAUGUUUGUAUCUUGAAAUUGCGAGCGGAGUUGAGCACCAUAUUGAAUCAAAGUUGCCAACUCCUUGUCAAAUGUUUUAUAACUUUCAUACUUCAAACUUCAGCGGGUAUCUGAGCGGACAAAUACACCCGGAGUGUAAUGGACUUGCUGUAGGCGACUCGUUUUUAGGUUUCCCGGGGCGCUCCAGUUUUGUUUUCGUACAAGUUAAGUUGGUUUCAUGCAGCACCGAGUCAGCGAACAAUCUCCAACUUUAAAGUGUGAGGUCAGCACUCUGGACCAGACCUGGAUGUGAUGGACAAUCCGUCCUCAGUAAUCACCCAAGUCAGCCGGGAUGAAGAGGGAAGUAAAGCCGCAGGAGAGAGGGGUUCUUCUCCCUCUCUGUCCUCCAAGAAGCCCAGGAGCAGGGGCCUCUUCUCCAGCCUCUUCUGCUGCCUGUGUCGGGACCAGCCUGAACCCCCACCAGUCAACAACAACGCCCCUCUGCUGGUCGAAGAGAACGGAACCGUCUCCAAGAUCCAGGUGAAGCCACUGCUUCCUCCAGCGAAGUCAAAAGACUCUGGAAAGAUCUGCGUGGUUAUAGAUCUGGACGAGACGUUAGUUCACAGCUCGUUUAAGCCUGUGAACAAUGCAGAUUUCAUCAUUCCUGUGGAAAUAGAUGGAACAGUACACCAGGUGUAUGUCCUGAAGCGGCCCCACGUCGAUGAGUUCCUGAAGAGGAUGGGGGAACUGUUUGAGUGUGUCCUGUUCACUGCCAGUUUAGCCAAGUAUGCAGACCCAGUCUCUGAUCUCCUGGACAAGUGGGGUGCUUUCCGCUGUCGCCUCUUCCGGGAGUCCUGCGUCUUCCACAGAGGAAAUUAUGUUAAGGACCUGAGUCGCCUGGGUCGUGACCUCAACAAGGUCAUCAUCGUGGACAACUCCCCGGCCUCCUACAUCUUCCACCCCGACAACGCAGUGCCUGUGGCCUCGUGGUUCGACGACAUGUCCGACACCGAGCUGCUGGACCUCAUCCCAUUCUUCGAGAGGCUGAGCAAAGUGGACAACGUCUACUCAGUCCUCAAGCACCAGGGGGCCGCAAGCUAACAGUGUUCGUCUUUUCAUCUCAGCUCUGAACAAAGCGGCGUACUGAACGGAAAUAAACACACCAGCGAGGCUCCAUCACCAGCUCCAGCUAUCACUGCCCACCAGAACACAGACUGCUUCACAGCUGACAGAGCCUUCACCUUCCCAGUAUCAAACCAAGAUUAUGUUUGGGAGUUUUUCAGUGACUUCGAUGGCGUCAUCACUGCCACCUUCUGGUCAAACAGAAAACUGCCUGAAAAUUACCUUGCAAUUCUCCCCCCAUGAACCAGCUCAUGUGAGUGAAUGCAUGAAAGGAUGAAUGAAUGUUUAAGGACAUUUCUGCAGUGUCACUGAACUUGCAGUACAUUUAACAAAACAGAUGUCUGCAGCCAUGAAUCCAAUGGACACAGACUGGGUACCGGACAUAGACUUCUCUCAUGGACUCGGCAGUUUGACCCUGCAAACCGAAGCAGGUUUGAUGCCAUGACCAGUUGAUGCCAGAGACGAGAGGACCAGGAUCGACUUCUAAAAGCGGGUCAUUUGUCAUGCUACAUCAGAACAGAGGCUCCGUUGGUGUAUGAUUGGUCUUGUUACUUGUUUUAAAGCCACACUCAAAACUUGAAUAUCUCACAGCAUUCACAGACUGUAUUUGAAUGGGUAAAGAAAGUUGCAAAAAAGUUAGUUUGGCUUGUCAGUUUUGGUCUCAUAAGCUUAAAAGUACAACUUUUUUUUUUCUUUUCAAUUAAGCGGUACACAUACGCUGGAAACAAUUUCAGGACUUUGUAAUAAAAUGUGUGUCGAGGGAGGUUAGUCUAGGAUAUGUGAGGUGUUGUGCCUGGUGAGCUGGCACACCUUUGCAAACAAAAAGUGGUUUAAUUCGGUCCAGAUUUAAAGGAGAAAUCCAUCCCGAAACACUUUCAACACCGUCAAUAAACAGCUAUUGGUGAUUUUUCUUGCACCUCUGGGUCCUUUGUUAUUUGGCUGGUGGUCAUAUUCUGUUGGAUAGACAUCACGUAAUGUUAAUGGGAGUUAAAUGAUGAUGUGUUGUAGUGUGAUUUGAGGGUGGAGUUUUCCUUUAAAAUCUCAAUUAUAACAGAUGUGGAGUUAUACAUUGAGUCUGUGCUGCUUUUUUUCGUUUUAUUUUUUAAGCUCUAUGUGGCGAUGUUAGUUGGUCGGUUUCUUGAGCUGGUCUGUUUUAAGGAGCGGCCUGGUCUCUAGCAGGAGUCUCCGACUCUUGUUAUGUCCUUCAUAUGCGUUGACAAUACCAUGUGUUGACACUGAUGAAUGAAAAUGGUGGAUUUGACUAAGAGCCUCAAUAGCAGCGUUGAUGCUUGAUGUGACUUUACCUAGAUGGAACAAGGAUGACAAUUAAGUCCACCAUAUUAAGAGCUAUUACAUUAUUUUUCUAUGUUUAACAAAUUAUUGUCAAUCAAAUUAGCCUUUUUCUUUUCUAAAUAAUUACUGAUUUUAAUUCUUCUCUUUGCCCAGCAGUUGUCCUCUGAUACAACAUUGACAGGUUGUUUUCCAGAGGGGAAACACUGUUGUGGCCGUUUUCAUGCAAGACGUGAUUGGUUACCUCAUAUAUUAAUAGGUAGGAUAUGGAUCAGAAACACCAGCAACUGACUAAAAGAUUAGUAUCUUACUGUUGUAGGCACAUAACAGGGUAAUUUGUGUGUUUCAUGUAAGCCAUCAUCACAUGUCUCAAUUAGAUUUAAUGCUGAUACUGUUGUUUCUGUUUUUGGAAUUCAUUGGCAAAAAGGAGUAUUUAUAGGGAUGUUAAGUCAUUUGAUUACAUACAGAACAAGUGUUGUGUCACUACAGGGCCCAUUCGCUGAUACUGUACUUCUUACACAUUCAGUAGAUAUGUAUAUUUUGUUUUGCACAAUAAUAAAGCAAACAAAUUUCAUUAAUAUAUGGAAUAUUCAUGUUACUGUACUCAUGAUUCAAUAGAUGUAACCUAAUUUUUGACCUUUGUUGUUUUAUCAUACCAAAUUAUAUAUGGACUGUGUAAUAAUGCCAUUUUUUCCAUAAAUGCUAAAUGAAAGAUGGUCCAUGUGCUGUUUU
Seriola dumerili (greater amberjack) is the source of this 3595-nucleotide RNA transcript. It is a transcript of the gene named carboxy-terminal domain RNA polymerase II polypeptide A small phosphatase 1-like, with no coding region annotated. NCBI's taxonomy places the organism in Eukaryota, Metazoa, Chordata, Actinopteri, Carangiformes, Carangidae. The record is from RefSeq and is a predicted model, not a curated record. The transcript has 8 exons.